UCUACGGGUGGCAGCAGUGGGGAAUAUUGGACAAUGGGCGAAAGCCUGAUCCAGCCAUGCCGCGUGUGUGAAGAAGGCCUUCGGGUUGUAAAGCACUUUCAGUGGGGAAGAAAGCCUUGGGGCUAAUACCCUCGAGGAAGGACAUCACCCACAGAAGAAGCACCGGCUAACUCCGUGCCAGCAGCCGCGGUAAUACGGAGGGUGCGAGCGUUAAUCGGAAUUACUGGGCGUAAAGCGCGCGUAGGCGGUCUGAUAAGCCGGUUGUGAAAGCCCCGGGCUCAACCUGGGAACGGCAUCCGGAACUGUCAGGCUAGAGUGCAGGAGAGGAAGGUAGAAUCCCCGGUGUAGCGGUGAAAUGCGUAGAGAUCGGGAGGAAUACCAGUGGCGAAGGCGGCCUUCUGGACUGACACUGACGCUGAGGUGCGAAAGCGUGGGUAGCAAACAGGAUUAGAUACCCUUGUAGUC
RNAcentral lists this ribosomal RNA (465 nucleotides) under Vreelandella stevensii. RNAcentral's name for it is "partial 16S ribosomal RNA". It matches the Rfam family "Bacterial small subunit ribosomal RNA", at positions 338 to 795 of the family's 1533-position model. Lineage: Bacteria; Pseudomonadati; Pseudomonadota; Gammaproteobacteria; Oceanospirillales; Halomonadaceae. The record is from RNAcentral.